GGGGCACCUGAUCUAGCCAUGCCGCGUGAGUGAUGAAGGCCCUAGGGUCGUAAAGCUCUUUCGCCAGGGAUGAUAAUGACAGUACCUGGUAAAGAAACCCCGGCUAACUCCGUGCCAGCAGCCGCGGUAAUACGGAGGGGGUUAGCGUUGUUCGGAAUUACUGGGCGUAAAGCGCGCGUAGGCGGAUCAGAAAGUUGGGGGUGAAAUCCCGGGGCUCAACCCCGGAACUGCCUCCAAAACUCCUGGUCUUGAGUUCGAGAGAGGUGAGUGGAAUUCCGAGUGUAGAGGUGAAAUUCGUAGAUAUUCGGAGGAACACCAGUGGCGAAGGCGGCUCACUGGCUCGAUACUGACGCUGAGGUGCGAAAGUGUGGGGAGCAAACAGGAUUAGAUACCCCGGUAGUCACA
Molecule: ribosomal RNA, 405 nt
Filed under: Antarctobacter albus
Lineage: Bacteria; Pseudomonadati; Pseudomonadota; Alphaproteobacteria; Rhodobacterales; Roseobacteraceae
Description: bacterial SSU rRNA
Rfam family: Bacterial small subunit ribosomal RNA
Source: RNAcentral